UUUUGGGGGCUUGGGGAUUUAGCUCAGUGGUAGAGCGCUUGCCUAGUAAGCACAAGGCCCUGGGUUCGAUCCUCAGCUCAAAAA
Non-coding RNA from Onychomys torridus (southern grasshopper mouse), 84 nucleotides. The record is from the annotation of a RefSeq genome assembly. NCBI's taxonomy places the organism in Eukaryota, Metazoa, Chordata, Mammalia, Rodentia, Cricetidae.